This is a long non-coding RNA of Quercus lobata, 365 nucleotides long. RefSeq lists it as uncharacterized. The transcript is spliced from 3 exons. Lineage: Eukaryota; Viridiplantae; Streptophyta; Magnoliopsida; Fagales; Fagaceae. The record is from RefSeq and is a predicted model, not a curated record.
GAAGGAGCACUUGGAAAUAGCAUAUAAGAUAAAAGAUUGGAAUGAUGAUAAUGACUUUCUAGUUCAGCUAUGCAAAUUGACAGGAAAGCUUUUGAAGGGUGGUGAACCUGACUUGAUGACUGCGGCAAAUUAAGAUGGUCCUCCAUGACUGGCAGAGAGGUUAAAUACUCUUUUCUGUGCCCCCUCCACUACAAGAAGACAAGUCGUCAGAUGAACCCAAUGUUUUUGGUGCUGACCAAGAUGAAGUGGGUAGUAGUUAGGCAUCUGCAGCAGCUUUCAGAGCUAUUGCAAAUGUUAUUUCCUCCCAGCAGCAAAUGUCUGUCCCUGUUCAAAGGGAUCUCUUCAGUGAGAACGAGUUAAGGGGU